Molecule: ribosomal RNA, 394 nt
Filed under: uncultured bacterium
Lineage: Bacteria
Description: bacterial SSU rRNA
Rfam family: Bacterial small subunit ribosomal RNA
Source: RNAcentral
AUUGAACGCUGGCGGCAUGCCUUACACAUGCAAGUCGAACGGCAGCACGGGAGCUUGCUCCUGGUGGCGAGUGGCGAACGGGUGAGUAAUGCAUCGGAACGUGCCCUGAAGUGGGGGAUAACGUAGCGAAAGUUACGCUAAUACCGCAUAUUUACUGUGAGCAGGAAAGCAGGGGAUCUUCGGACCUUGCGCUUUUGGAGCGGCCGAUGUCGGAUUAGCUAGUUGGUGGGUAAAGGCCCACCAAGGCGACGAUCCGUAGCGGGUCUGAGAGGAUGAUCAGCCACACUGGGACUGAGACAGGCCCAGACGUCCUACGGGAGGCAGCAGUGGGGAAUAUUGGACAAUGGGCGCAAGCCUGAUCCAGCAAUGCCGCGUAGUGUGAAGAAGGCCUAGC